GGACGGGUAGCGCAGUGGUCAGCGCGUUCACUAAGCGUCAUCAGCGUUGAUUUUCCAGCGUUUAGCGAGAGGCCUGGGUUCAAAUUCCAGCCCGCCCA
Non-coding RNA from Immersiella caudata, 98 nucleotides. The record is from the annotation of a GenBank genome assembly. Lineage: Eukaryota; Fungi; Ascomycota; Sordariomycetes; Sordariales; Lasiosphaeriaceae.